Molecule: ribosomal RNA, 837 nt
Filed under: uncultured archaeon
Lineage: Archaea
Description: bacterial SSU rRNA
Rfam family: Archaeal small subunit ribosomal RNA
Source: RNAcentral
GGUUACUGCUAUCGGUGUUCGCCUAAGCCAUGCGAGUCAUAUGUUCUUCGGAACAUGGCGUACUGCUCAGUAACACGUGGAUAACCUGCCCUUGGGUCCGGCAUAACCCCGGGAAACUGGGGAUAAUUCCGGAUAACGCACAUAUGCUGGGAUGCUUUAUGCGUCAAAUGGAUUCGUCCGCCCAAGGAUGGGUCUGCGGCCUAUCAGGUAGUAGUGGGUGUAAUGUACCUACUAGCCUACGACGGGUACGGGUUGUGAGAGCAAGAGCCCGGAGAUGGAUUCUGAGACAUGAAUCCAGGCCCUACGGGGCGCAGCAGGCGCGAAAACUUUACAAUGCGGGAAACCGUGAUAAGGGGACACCGAGUGCCAGCAUCAUAUGCUGGCUGUCCGGGCGUGUAAAAUACACCUGUUAGCAAGGGCCGGGCAAGACCGGUGCCAGCCGCCGCGGUAACACCGGCGGCCCGAGUGGUGAUCGUGAUUAUUGGGUCUAAAGGGUCCGUAGCCGGUUUGGUCAGUCCUCCGGGAAAUCUGACGGCUUAACCGUUAGGCUUUCGGGGGAUACUGCCAGACUUGGAACCGGGAGAGGUAAGAGGUACUACAGGGGUAGGAGUGAAAUCUUGUAAUCCCUGUGGGACCACCUGUGGCGAAGGCGUCUUACCAGAACGGGUUCGACGGUGAGGGACGAAAGCUGGGGGCACGAACCGGAUUAGAUACCCGGGUAGUCCCAGCCGUAAACGAUGCUCGCUAGGUGUCAGGCAUGGCGCGACCGUGUCUGGUGCCGCAGGGAAGCCGUGAAGCGAGCCACCUGGGAAGUACGGCCGCAAGGCUGAAACUUAA